This 370-nucleotide transfer-messenger RNA is filed under the name Roseibium sp. RKSG952. RNAcentral describes it as "Alphaproteobacteria transfer-messenger RNA". It matches the Rfam family "Alphaproteobacteria transfer-messenger RNA". Rfam says of the family: Bacterial tmRNA, also known as 10Sa RNA or SsrA, is named for its dual tRNA and mRNA-like properties. The record is from Rfam by way of RNAcentral. Lineage: Bacteria; Pseudomonadati; Pseudomonadota; Alphaproteobacteria; Hyphomicrobiales; Stappiaceae.
CCCCUUUCAUUUGCUGUCGCAAGAGUUUAUAUCUGCCCGUGCUGGGCAACCAGCUAUGGCAAUAAAUGGUCAGUGCAAUAAACCUAUCGGACCCGGGGGCGGUACCCGGCGCCUCCACCCAAGCGCAGAGCAGCCCAAAUGCAGGUUUCUGCGUUUCGGCGGGGGCGAAACAGGAUCGACGAGGGCGUAAAGACUGUGCUUUUGCUCGGCAUUGUACCACCGUUAUCGGGCUGUUCUAAUAGUUGCAAACGACAACUAUGCUAUGGACAACGCUGUCGCUGCGUAAUGCGGUGCCAGUAGUCCUUUAAAGCCCUGCUGGGUAGCACCAGCAGGCGGGGUCCGGAGGCACCUGGCAACAGAAGCCUCCACU